ACGCUCGACACCUACGGGAAGCAGCAGUUAGGAAUAUUGGGCAAUGGAGGGAACUCUGACCCAGCAACGCCGCGUGAAGGAAGAAGGUUUUCGGACUGUAAACUUCUGAUCUAAGGGAAAAAGAAAGUGAUGGUACCUUAGGAGAAAGCCACGGCUAACUACGUGCCUGCAGCCGCGGUAAUCUGAGCGGGCUGGCAAGGC
This 201-nucleotide ribosomal RNA is filed under the name uncultured bacterium. RNAcentral describes it as "partial 16S ribosomal RNA". It matches the Rfam family "Bacterial small subunit ribosomal RNA", at positions 326 to 539 of the family's 1533-position model. The record is from RNAcentral.